Molecule: RNA transcript, 8602 nt
Organism: Mya arenaria
Lineage: Eukaryota; Metazoa; Mollusca; Bivalvia; Myida; Myidae
Gene name: transient receptor potential cation channel subfamily M member-like 2
Exons: 27
Source: RefSeq, a predicted model, not a curated record
CGCUAUACUAGUAAUUGUCUGUGAAGUAAUGAAAUUCAAUAUGUCUUAGUAUUUGUACGGUGAAUGACAUUUGUAUAAAUGCAUUGAAGACCUUUGUUUGGAUUAUUGUAAAAUGCUCAGUAGUUUGGAUAAAUUGUAAAUGAUUGAUGUCUUACUAAUGUUUAUCUAAAACAGAAGUUUAAAUAUUGUUUCAAUGGAGUGACUAGAUCAGAAGUGUCAAGAUAUAAACGCAUGUGCAAUAUAUAUCUAUUUAUCGCAAGGAUACUUGUAAUAUUUUAUCUUACGUCCGUGUUAACAAGACAUGGAAACUCAUUCAGAAAAUCAAGGCGAAUUUUCUGCAGAAACGUCCGAAGAAGCUUUUUGUAUAAGAUCUCAGGAAGAUAUUGCGGAAGUAAAUAAACCUUCUUUGAGAGAAGAUCGCACUCACAACAAGAUCAAUCAAGAUGAAAUACGUACUGAUACUGCAAAAAGAGGUCAUGCUGAUGAUCAAUUCGAUGAUAGUGACAAUGAAAGUGACUUAGAGGAUGAGGCAGAUCAGAUUACACCCGGACUGAGACAAUUCAAUGAUACAUAUGAUGUUAUAAAUAUUAAACAUCAACAAAGUUUAGAGGAAACGUAUGACCAACAUGAUGGUCCUGAAAUUCUUCUUAUUCCGAUCAAGCAAGGUUUACUAACUGCAGGACCGAGUACAGAUGGUUGUGUCGAAAAUGAAAGAUGCGAAGAAUUUGAUGAGGAGACAAAAUGGAUCCGAGGGCAUAUCAAGCGGAGAGAAUGUUCUCAAUUUAUUGAGGACCCCAAUCAGGAACAAACACCGAAAGGAGAGAGGCGGUGCUACUGCGGCUACCUCUAUAACGAGCACAGCAAUGAGGCUCAGGAGGGUGCCGUAGAGGAAGGGACAAAAUGGGACUACAUGAAACAUUCUCUGCCAAAAAUGACAAACGCCUUCGGGGAAAUGGAGUUUAUCGGCUACGGUGGAAAUGUGAGGAAGUAUGUUAGGGUAGAUGUGGAGACAAAGAUGUCGGACAUGCUGGAAUUAAUGAUGAAGGUCUGGGGGCUCGAUAAGCCAAAGCUUCUCAUAUCCGUGAUAGGGGGCGCUGAAAACUUUAACAUGAGCAAACGACUCCGGGACACAUUUCGACACGGCCUCUUAACGACCAUACUAACUACAGGUGCCUGGAUUGUAGCAGGCGGCACAAACGAAGGAGUGAUGAAGCAUGUCGGAAAGGCUGUGGAGGCUUCUAGUAUAGCAUCGAUAAACAAAAACCAGGUCAUCUCCAUUGGAAUAGCACCGUGGGGCUGUGUACAGAAUAAAGAGGCUCUCAUCGAUGAAACGAGCAAAGGACUUUGGCCGGCGAAAUACUUGAUAGGAAAAGGGCAAAGCAAGACAGAUAGUUUUCUAGACCCGAAUCACUCACAUUUCGUCCUCGUCGACAAUGCCACACAAAACACGUUCGCUGCUGCUGAGAUUCAAUUCAGGGAAAAUUUCGAGAAGGAAAUAGCCAAAAACAAUACUGGGACGGGAGAAAUAGAUGCCGUAUCGGUGCCUAGCAUUCUGCUAGUUCUGGCGGGAGAUCUUGGCACGCUAGAAAAUGUUCAUCAAGCGAUAAAAAACAACACACCCAUAGUCGUUGUAAAGAGCUCAGGUCGGGCAGCGGAUAUCCUCGCGUACGCCUACCUUAAUGCAAAGGAAGGGGGAAUUGAAGCUACAGACCAUGCUGGGAAAAAGCACAAAGAGACUCGUCAGUACCUUGAGGACUCGGUGCAAAUCAAGGUUCGGGAAAUGAUAGAACACGAGUUCGGCAAUAAGGAAACGAUGUCACACUUGAAACACAUUUGUGAUUGCCUCGAGAAAAGCGACUUCAUAUCUGUGUACGACAUAGAAGGGAAAGGCGGGGUGAAGGGUAUUGAAGCUACUAUUCUUCAGGCUCUAUUAAAAGCCAACAAGUACCAAGUGAUGGACCAGUUAAGGCUAGCCCUGGCCUGGAACAGAAUUGAUGUGGCAAAAAGCGUCAUCCUCAUCGAUGACCAUAAAUUGCCGACAAAGAAACUGGAUGGUGUUACGUUCUCAGCCAUACUACUGAACCGGAUCGACUUUAUCAAUCUUUUUCUCGACCACGGUGUAAACCUAAAAGAGUUCCUUACAAAGAGAAGGCUUUUAAUGCUGUACAACAAGAUUCCGUCCAACUGUUUACUGCGAACCAUGCUGGAGAGCUCAAAGAAAGCUGAUAAAAAUGCUGAAUUUUCACUGAAGGACGUAGGAAUGCUGAUUCGAGACCUAUUGGGAGAGACGUUUCACCCUAAGGUGCUCGGUCUUGAUUAUGUCUUGGACAAAAUGAAGCCAACGCAAGAAGAAGAUUAUAUGUCCUGUCAAUUUGAACAGCCUUUUCUGGAACUGUUUGUCUGGUCGAUACUGAUGAUGUAUCAAGACAUGGCAAAACUGUGCUGGGCUGAAGGGAAAGAUCCCAUAGCUACGGCUCUGGUUGGUAACAACCUGCUCAAGACCAUGUUAAGGAAAACAGAUGACAAGGAGCUCGUCAAGAGAAUACAGGCAUUCAUAACUGAAUGGUCAGAUUUAGCUACCGGAGUAUUGUCGGAUUGUCACUCAACAGACGAAGACUUUACCCAGGCCUUGUUGGUACGGGAGCAAAGCAAAUGGGGCAAAACAUCGUGUAUGUUGAUGGCUGUGCAGGCAGAAAACAAGGACUUUAUAUCGCAAAACGCAUGCCAGUCUCUGCUAAACAGGAUAUGGAAUGGCAGACUUGUUCAGGACAUAUCGAGAUGGAGGCUCCUGUUGUGCUUGAUUUGCCCAUUCUUGAUUUGUGUUCUGCUGGACUUCACCAAACCUGAUACCUGUGCUCAUCAGUCAACAUACACAAAGGGUGACAACAAAAACAGAGAUUCCAACCAAGAUUCUCACAACAAUCAAGAUUAUCACAACAACAAGAUAAAGAUACAGAAAACGCGCCAGCUUAUGGCUACAAGAGGAAGCGAGCUAUCAGUUUUCGAUAAGUUCUACUACUUUUUCACAGCUCCUGUCAUCAUCUUUUUGUAUAAUUUGUGUUCUUACCUCGUGUUUCUCAGCCUGUACACGUACAUCCUGAUUUUCAAGUUUGACCGCCAAGUCAACCUGGAAGAGAUCAUUCUCAUGAUCUGGGUGUUUGCAAUUACAACGGAGGAAAUCAGACAGAUGGUAAUGAACUCUUCAACAACAUUAUCCAAGAAAAUUCAAAGCUACAUCUCUGACACAUGGAACAAAGUUGACACCAUGACCAUAGUGGUAUUCAUUAUCGGAAUAAUCCUUCGAUUUAUGCCUUACGAGAGAACGUUCGAAGCUGCCAGAGUGGUCCUUGCUCUCAACUUUGUAACGUUUUUUCUGCGGCUGCUACAUAUCUUCUCAGUCCACAAAGAACUGGGACCAAAACUUGUUAUGAUUGGCAAAAUGAUUCAGGACUUAAUGUACUUCCUGUUGAUCUUGAUGGUGUUUGUGUUCUCGUACGCGAUUUCCUCCAACUCCAUCCUCUAUCCAAACUCCCCACUUACCUGGAACACGGCUGUUCAGAUCAUCCGUAAAUCCUACUGGAACAUCUAUGGAGAGCUGUUUCUUGAAGAAAUUGAAGGUGAAGCUGACUGUUCAUACGACGCUACAUUAUGGCUGAAUGGUACCCAAGCCAGGUGCCCGACCGACACAGGAAAGUGGCUAGUGCCGAUCAUGAUGGGCAUCUACAUGAUGAUUGCCAAUGUAUUACUUCUUAAUCUUCUUAUUGCAAUGUUCAGCAACACGUUCCGAAAAGUCCAGGACAACACAGACAAACAUUGGCACUUCCAGCGUUACUCUCUAAUCAACGAAUACUACAAUCGACCUGUACUUUUCCCUCCGCUUAUUCUUCUCGCGCAUAUAUAUUUGCUAUUCGGAUUUAUAUGCGAGUCGUGCUGCUGUAAGGUUAUGAAAAAGCAGCGUGAAGAAACCGAAAAUUGCUUUUGUCGAAAGUUUAAGAAUGAGCGCGAGUUGAUAAAAUGGGAGAACGUGAUUGCUCAUGCAUUUCAUCGAAAACGGGAACUGGAAGAUGUGGCGGAUCUUGAACACAAGGUUGAUAGCACACACAACAUUAUUGAGGAGAUCCAGCAACAGCUUGAAGUGAAAAUUCCACCUAGACUGGAUAGUAGGCUGACACACAUUGAAGAGAUUCAGCAACAGCUUGAAGUGAAAAUUUCAUCUAGACUUGAUAAUAGGCUAACAAACAUUGAGGAGAUCCAGCAACAGCUUGAAGUGAAAAUUCCACCUAGACUGGAUAGUAGGCUGACAAACAUUGAGGAGAUCCUGCAACAGCUUAAAGUGAAAAUUGAACCUAGACUGGAUAGAAGGCUGAACAUCAUUGAAAAACAGCUGGAAAGUACUCAGAAAUCUUUGGAGUGGAUUAUAUCGACUCUACAAAAUAAUUCAGUGAAAGAGAAUAAACCUGCCGAGCCAGCCCAAGAGGUCCUGUACAGAAUGAAUAUCAGGGAUGAAGAGAUAUGAAGAUGAUAUUCUCAAAUUCUUCUCACAAAGGCUAAGUGUUAUUCGGGUAUGUACCAAAAUGAAGUUUGGGAGAAUGUAUCACUGACGUUCUGAUUGAUUGUCUCUUACCAGCUUACAUGGCAGGGCUCACAUCUAUACUUGGAGCCGAGAGACUUGGGGCAUAAUGUUAAACAAGCUGCACGGCUCAUAUAUGUGCUUUGUAAAUCACAGUGCCAAGAGGCAAAGUGAGAGCAGUUCUAUAAAAUGUUAAAAACACAUUCUAGUACUUUUAAUUUGGUAUAUAUAUUAAAGGUACUAUUAAAAAGAUAAUUACAAGGAUGUUGAUUCGGGGCACACAUAUCUUCGGAUCAUUUGUAAAGAUAUAAACGUUAAUGUUUGCUAUCCUAAAUUCAGUCAGAUAGAUUUGACAUGAUGUAAUGUAGACAUAUACCAAAAUAAUCAUGUAUUGUGUAUAUUAUUAUAGUGUUUCUGUAAUAACUGUUUCUGUGCCUCUUGAAUGAGUGUAAUGUAUUGACAGACAAAGUCACACUCGUUACAUUUACGCGUUACAUAUUGUCCGUGCGUAAACAUUGGUUGUGGGUUUUUUUCUGAUCGAUUUUGACCAUCACCCGUGUGUCAAGUCUACUUGUAAUUGUAGUGUUGUUGUAAAAUUAUUGGAAGGCCAAAACAAAUAAUGUUUAGUUUCGCAGACCCUGCUGAUUCAUUAUCCAAAUCAUGUUCCAUACUUUUAUGUCACAACAUUAAUAUAACUCCUUCUUUUCAGCCCCAAUAGGAUUACUAGGAGGGAUUUCCUUUCCAUUAUUGUUUUUGUGUUCCAUGUCUUUUGCGUUUACCCUGUUUCAUUAAACGGGGUUUAUGUUUAACUUUUGGCUACUGAGCUUGUUUCUGUAGCUUUCCACAUAAGUAUGUACAUUUAUUUUGAUACUUUGUAAUGUGCAUGUAUCUUUUCAUAUUGUUAUGUACAUUUAUUGUGUCACUUUGUAAUUAACAUAUCUGUGUUACACAUAUUAUAUUAUAAGAUAUGCACUGUUUUACUGACAUUUUCAAAUAAUUAAAACCUAAAUAUUAUGGUUGCUUUUCAAUAAUACAAACACGUAAAAUCAGAUUUAAAAUGUUGUAUUUUUUAAAUUUCUUUUUGUAUUUGUUGUAUAUACUUACUUUUUCAACAUAAUUAUAUAAUGUCUAUUUAUUCUGUCACAUUGUAAUGUACAUUUAUUUUGUCACAUUGUAAUGUCUGUUAGGCUAUUACCUUUAGGCUAUUACCUUGUGUCUGAAUGCCUGGUAUCCAUUGUAAUCGCUGUUAGGCUAUUACCUUGUGUCUGAAUGCCUGGUAUCUAUUGUAAUCUCUGUUAGGCUAUUACCUUGUGUCUGAAUGCCUGGUAUCCAUUGUAAUGUCUGUUAGACUAUUACAUUGUGUCUGAAUGCCUAGUAUCCAAUGUAAUCUCUGUUAGGCUAUUACCUUGUGUCUGAAUGCCUGGUAUCCAUUGUAAUCUCUGUUAGGCUAUAACCUUGUGUCCGAAUGCCUGGUAUCCAUUGGAAUGCCUGUUCGGCUGUUUUAUUGUGUCUGAAUGCCUGGUAUCCAUUGGAAUGCAUGUAAGGCUAUUACCUUGUGUCUGAACGCCUAGUAUCCAAUGUAAUGUCUGUUAGGCUAUUACCUUGUGUCUGAAUGCCUGGUAUCCAUUGUAAUCUCUGUUAGGCUAUUACCUUGUGUCUGAAUGCCUGGUAUCCAUUGGAAUGCAUGUUAGGCUAUAACCUUGUGUCUGAAUGCCUGGUAUCCAAUGUAAUCUCUGUUAGGCUAUUACCUUGUGUCUGAAUGCCUGGUAUCCAAUGCAAUCUCUGUUAGGCUAUUACCAUGUGUCUAAAUGCCUGGUAUCCAUUGUAAUGUCUGUUAGACUAUUACAUUGUGUCUGAAUGCCUGGUAUCCAUUGUAAUCUCUGUUAGGCUAUUACCUUGUGUCGGAAUGCCUGGUAUCCAUUGUAAUGUCUGUUAGGCUAUUACCUUGUGUCUAAAUGCCUGGUAUCCAAUGUAAUCUCUGUUAGGCUAUUACCAUGUGUCGGAAUGCCUGGUAUCCAUUGGAAUGCAUGUUAGGCUAUUACCUUGUGUCUAAAUGCCUAGUAUCCAUUGUAAUGUAUGUUAGGCUAUUACCUUGUGUCUAAAUGCCUAGUAUCCAAUAUAAUGUCUGUAAGGCUAUUACCUUGUGCUUGAAUGCCUGGUAUUCAUUGUAAUAUAUGUUAGGCUAUUACCUUCUACUUGAAUGCCUAGUAUCCAAUAUAAUGUCUGUAAGGCUAUUACCUUGUGCUUGAAUGCCUGGUAUUCAUUGUAAUAUAUGUUAGGCUAUUAGCUUGUGUCUAUAUGCCUGGUAUCCAUUGUACUGUCUGUUAGGCUAUUACAUUGUGCUUGAAUUCCUGGUAUCCUUUGUAAUGUAUGCUAGGAUAUUACCUUGUGCUUGAAUGCCUGGUAUCCAUUGUAAUAUCUGCUAGGCUAUUAACUUGUGGUUGAAUGCCUGGUUUUCAUUGUAAUAUAUGUUAGGCUAUUACCUUGUGUCUAUAUGACUGGUAUCCAAUGUAAUGUCUGUUAGGCUAUUACCUUGUGCUUGAAUGCCUGGUAUUCAUUGUAAUAUAUGUUAGGCUAUUACCUUCUACUCGAAUGCCUAGUAUCCAAUGUAAUGUCUGUUAGGCUAUUACCUUGUGCUUGAAUGCCUGGUAUUCAUUGUAAUAUAUGUUAGGCUAUUACCUUCUACUUGAAUGCCUGGUAUCCAAUGUAAUGUCUGUAAGGCUAUCACCUUGUGCUUGAAUGCCUGGUAUUCAUUGUAAUAUCUGUAAGGCUAUUACAUUGUGCUUGAAUGCCUGGUAUUCAUUGUAAUAUAUGUAAGGCUAUUACCUUCUACUUGAAUGCCUGGUAUCCAAUGUAAUGUCUGUAAGGCUAUCACCUUGUGCUUGAAUGCCUGGUAUUCAUUGUAAUGUCUGUAAGGCUAUCACCUUGUGCUUGAAUUCCUGGUAUUCAUUGUAAUGUAUGUUAGGCUAUUACCUUGUGCUUGAAUGCCUGGUAUUCAUUGUAAUGUAUGUUAGGCUAUUACCUUGUGCUUGAAUGCCUGGUAUCCAAUGUAAUGUCUGUAAGGCUAUCACCUUGUGCUUGAAUGCCUGGUAUUCAUUGUAAUGUCUGUAAGGCUAUCACCUUGUGCUUGAAUGCCUGGUAUUCAUUGUAAUGUAUGUUAGGCUAUUACCUUCUACUUGAAUGCCUGGUAUUCAAUGUAAUGUCUGUUAGGCUAUUACCUUGUGCUUGAAUGCCUGGUAUUCAUUGUAAUAUAUGUUAGGCUAUUACCUUCUACUUGAAUGCCUAGUAUCCAAUGUAAUGUCUGUUAGGCUAUUACCUUGUGCUUGAAUGCCUGGUAUUCAUUGUAAUAUAUGUUAGGCUAUUACCUUCUACUUGAAUGCCUGGUAUUCAUUGUAAUGUAUGUUAGGCUAUUACCUUCUACUUGAAUGCCUGGUAUUCAAUGUAAUGUCUGUUAGGCUAUUACCUUGUGCUUGAAUGCCUGGUAUUCAUUGUAAUGUAUGUUAGGCUAUUACCUUCUACUUGAAUGCCUGGUAUCCAAUGUAAUGUCUGUUAGGCUAUUACCUUGUGCUUGAAUGCCUGGUAUUCAUUGUAAUAUAUGUUAGGCUAUUACCUUCUACUUGAAUGCCUAGUAUCCAAUGUAAUGUCUGUUAGGCUAUUACCUUGUGCUUGAAUGCCUGGUAUUCAUUGUAAUAUAUGUUAGGCUAUUACCUUGUGUCUAUAUGACUGGUAUCCAUUGUAAUGUCUGUUAGGCUAUUACAUUGUGCUUGAAUGCCUGGUAUCCUUUGUAAUGUAUGUUAGGAUAUUACCUUGUGCUUGAAUGCCUGGUAUCCAUUGUAAUAUCUGCUAGGCUAUUACCUUGUGUCUGAAUGCCUAGUAUCCGUUGUAAUUUGAAUACUGGUAUCCAUUGUAAUGUCUGCUAGGCUAUUACCUUGUGUCUGAAUGCCUAGUAUCCGUUGUAAUUUGAAUACUGGUAUCCAUUGUAAUGUCUGCUAGGCUAUUACCUUGUGUCUGAAUGCCUAGUAUCCGUUGUAA